Molecule: ribosomal RNA, 1234 nt
Filed under: metagenome
Description: bacterial LSU rRNA
Rfam family: Bacterial large subunit ribosomal RNA
Source: RNAcentral
UGAUGACGAGACGCUAAGGCGUUGAAGCAGUGUAUGUCAGACUUCCAAGAAAAGCUCGCAAUGUCACAAAUAAAAGAUGCCUGUACCAUAACCGACACAGGUGGGUAGGUAGAGUAUACUAAGGGGCGCGAGAUAACUCUCUCUAAGGAACUCGGCAAAAUGACUCCGUAACUUCGGGAGAAGGAGUGCCUUAUUUAUAAGGUUGCAAUAACAAGAUCCAAGCAACUGUUUAUCAAAAACACAGGUCUCCGCUAAGUCGUAAGACGAUGUAUGGGGGCUGACGCCUGCCCAGUGCCAGAAGGUUAAAGAAGUUGGUUAGUGUAUGCGAAGCUGAUGACUGAAGCCCUGAUGAACGGCGGCCGUAACUAUAACGGUCCUAAGGUAGCGAAAUUCCUUGUCGGGUAAGUUCCGACCCGCACGAAAGGCGUAAUGAUUUGGAUACUGUCUCGGAGAGAGGCUCGGUGAAAUAGACUUGUCUGUGAAGAUGCGGACUACCUGCACCAGGACAGAAAGACCCUAUGAAGCUUUACUGUAACUUGAAAUUGGAAUUGGACUUUGCUUGCGCAGUAUAGGUGGGAAGCGUUGAAAAUAUUCUUGCGGGAGUAUUGGAGCUAUCAGUGAGAUACCACUCUUGUAAUGUUAGAUUUCUAACUUUGAACCAUAAUCUGGUCAAAGAACAGUUUCAGGUGGGCAGUUUGACUGGGGCGGUCGCCUCCCAAAUGGUAACGGAGGCGUACAAAGGUUUCCUCUGAACGGAUAGAAAUCGUAUCUAGAGUGUAAAGGCAUAAGGAAGCUUGACUGUGAGACCUACAAGUCGAGCAGGGACGAAAGUCGGUCUUAGUGAUCUGACGGUACUGAGUGGAAAGGCCGUCACUCAACGGACAAAAGUUACUCUAGGGAUAACAGGCUGAUCUCCCCCAAGAGUUCACAUCGACGGGGAGGUUUGGCACCUCGAUGUCGGCUCAUCGCAUCCUGGGCGGUAGUACGUCCCAAGGGUUGGGCUGUUCGCCCAUGAAAGCGGUACGCGAGCUGGGUUCAGAACGUCGUGAGACAGUUCGGUCCAUAUCCGGUGUAGGCGCUAGAAUAUUGAGAGGAGCCUUCUUUAGUACGAGAGGACCGAGAAGGACACACCGCUGGUGUACCAGUUAUCGUGCCAACGGUAAACGCUGGGUAGCUAUGUGUGGAGUGGAUAACCGCUGAAAGCAUCUAAGUGGGAAGCCCACCUCGAGAUGAG